GAAAUUUACAAAGUCUGCUAGAAUUUUGUUUGAAAUGAACAAUUUGCGUGCAUUAUUGCCCCAGCAGCAAAAGAAAAAGCUGUCAUGACAAAUUUAUUUAGUUGCAGAAUGUAUCGCAAGAUAGAACCAUGUUUUCUUCUUGUCUUGAAGCUGGAUACCAAUUAAAGUGGUGGUAUCACAGCAUAUUAAUUGCUAACACAAGUAUUGCUGAAUCUAUGUGAAGGGUGACAAGACAGGUAUUCCAGCAUUACGUUAACUUAUUUUUUUGGUAGGUGGUGGCUCACAGAACAGUGAAACUAAGGCCAUUGCAUUUCAAAAUGUUUAUCUCUCCAUGGCAAAACAAAAGCUGGCUCUUCAAGACAGUUCUAAAUCUAUUAUUUAGUGACGCAGUGAAAUUUCAAGUUGAUAAGAGUGUGUAUGUAAAAAAUAUGUAUUUUAAUAAACCAUA
Daphnia pulex (common water flea) is the source of this 448-nucleotide long non-coding RNA. RefSeq lists it as uncharacterized. Lineage: Eukaryota; Metazoa; Arthropoda; Branchiopoda; Diplostraca; Daphniidae. The record is from RefSeq and is a predicted model, not a curated record. The transcript has 3 exons.